This 242-nucleotide unclassified non-coding RNA is filed under the name Pinguicula albida. RNAcentral describes it as "ITS2". Lineage: Eukaryota; Viridiplantae; Streptophyta; Magnoliopsida; Lamiales; Lentibulariaceae. The record is from RNAcentral.
UGUUUCUUCGCGCUCUUCCUACCAUCAUGGGGACGGUGGACGCGUUGCGUAUAUUGGCCUCCCGUGCGCCUCGGCAUGCGGAUGGCCCAAACGUGAACCCACGAUGUCUCACGUCACAACCAUUGGUGGUUGAUGAUACGACUUUUAUGUUGUUGUGAUGUGUUGCGUCUACCUCGUUGGUUGAUAUCAUCGGAUGUGACACUCAUCCAAAUAGACCCAACGGCAGGUUGUGUCCUGCAUUU